Molecule: transfer RNA, 63 nt
Filed under: Nitidulidae sp. BMNH 1274727
Lineage: Eukaryota; Metazoa; Arthropoda; Insecta; Coleoptera; Nitidulidae
Description: tRNA-Cys
Source: RNAcentral
AGUUUUAUAGUCAAAAAAUGAUAUCAAAUUGCAAAUUUGAAGUUAAAGUUAAUUUUAAAACUU